UCUAUUAUUUUUCAUCAAAAAAGAAUAACAUAUGUGGUCCUCGGCUCUCCACCUUCAAACGAAACUCCUUUGUAUCGGUUUUAGCUGAUGCUCUUGGCUAUACCUCAACGCCGCUAGUGUUCAAGUUCGGGCCAUUGAAGGGCUUUGAAGGACCUUUGCAAGGAAGAAUUGGAUCUUUUCCCAAGUUGUUGGUGUGUCCUCAAGUCCAAGGAUGAUGCCACUUUUCAAUCUUAGUAGUUUGACUAUGUCUAAGACAAUUGUUCUUUCUUUAUAUUAUGACAUUGUUGUAACCCUAUAUAUGGCAUAUUGUACUAGUGUAAGGGAUAUGCAAAAAUUUGUAAUUCUCUUUUAGAUGGUAUAUGUGACAUAAUGUUAGACUACUUAAAUGAA
Solanum pennellii is the source of this 390-nucleotide long non-coding RNA. RefSeq lists it as uncharacterized. The record is from RefSeq and is a predicted model, not a curated record. Lineage: Eukaryota; Viridiplantae; Streptophyta; Magnoliopsida; Solanales; Solanaceae. The transcript has 2 exons.